CCUACUCCACUUUCCACAUCUCCGGGUCUGGUCCCGCAGUGGCCGGACUUCUCCCCGCGGAGAGUCUCAGGAAACUGCGAUAGGCUUGGCCCAGCUUGGCUUGUUUGUAGCCAGCCCUGGAGUGGCCUGAGAUGUGAAAUCCCAAUGUACAACAAAGGAGUUAUCAUCAAGUGAUGACAACUAUAAAAUAAAGUCAUCUCAAUGGAAGAUAAUGAAUGGAAAGACUUACAACCUAUGAAUUUGGAUGUUUUGUUUUUCAAGAUGACUGAGAGUAUAAUCACCAUUUUCAGACAGAACAGUGAAAUUGAGAAGAAUAUCUUAAAUCUGUGACAAUCACCCAUGAAAAUAUGCAAAGUCUCAGCCAACAAACAUUCAAUAGUCUACAUCAGAUAUAUCACACUAGGCAAAAACCCUAUGAAUGCAGAGAAUGUGGGAGAGUCUUCAAUUACCACUCACUGCUAAUUCACCAUGGGGAAGACAUACUAAAGAAAAAUGCUAUGAAUGUAAGACCCUAUGAAUGUGGUGAAUGUGGGAAAGCCUUCCAUCACUACUCAAUCAUUACUCAACAUCAAAGAAUUCACACUGUAGAAAGACCCUAUGAAUGUAACAACUGUAAUAAAGUCUUCUGUUAUCACUCAAA
Long non-coding RNA from Suricata suricatta (meerkat), 640 nucleotides. RefSeq lists it as uncharacterized. The record is from RefSeq and is a predicted model, not a curated record. NCBI's taxonomy places the organism in Eukaryota, Metazoa, Chordata, Mammalia, Carnivora, Herpestidae. The transcript has 2 exons.